Molecule: unclassified non-coding RNA, 299 nt
Organism: Callithrix jacchus (white-tufted-ear marmoset)
Lineage: Eukaryota; Metazoa; Chordata; Mammalia; Primates; Cebidae
Rfam family: Metazoan signal recognition particle RNA
About the family: The signal recognition particle (SRP) is a universally conserved ribonucleoprotein. It is involved in the co-translational targeting of proteins to membranes.
Source: Ensembl
GCCAGGCGCGGUGGUGCUUGCCUGUAGUCACAGCUACUUGGGAGGCUGAGGUGGGAGGAUUGCUUGAACCCAGGAGUUCUGGCUGUAGUGUGCUAUGCUGAUUGGGUGUCCACACUAAGUUCAGCAUCAGUAUGGUGACCUCCCAGGAGCAUGGGACCACCGAGUUGUCUAAGGAGGGGUGAACUGGCCCAGGUUGGAAACAGAGCAGGUCAAAGAUCCUGUGCUGAUCAGUAGUGGGAUCGUGCCUGUGAAUAGCCACUGCACUCCAGCCUGGGCGACACAGUGAGACCCUGUCUCAA